AGUUUUGCACAGUGGCAGUAUCAUAGCCAAUGAGGUUUAUCCAAGGCAUGAUUAUUGCCAAUUGAAAACUUUUCCCAAUACCCUGCCUUGAUGACUUGCAAUUCAGUCAGCAUUGGCAAUUUUUGACGGUCUCUAUGGAGA
Otolemur garnettii (small-eared galago) is the source of this 141-nucleotide small nuclear RNA. Its record names the gene U4. It matches the Rfam family "U4 spliceosomal RNA". Rfam says of the family: U4 small nuclear RNA (U4 snRNA) is a component of the major U2-dependent spliceosome. Lineage: Eukaryota; Metazoa; Chordata; Mammalia; Primates; Galagidae. The record is from Ensembl.